Fukomys damarensis (Damara mole-rat) is the source of this 894-nucleotide long non-coding RNA. RefSeq lists it as uncharacterized. Lineage: Eukaryota; Metazoa; Chordata; Mammalia; Rodentia; Bathyergidae. The transcript is spliced from 3 exons. The record is from RefSeq and is a predicted model, not a curated record.
AACAUCUUGUAGGCAUCUGUUAACCAUCAACGUGUGGCUGCUGAAUACGUGACAGCUGCCACCAGUGUGAAUCAGCAGACCAUUGACCUUCGCCACCUGACUGCCAGCUUUGAAUGUUAGCUCCCCCUGUAUCCCCUUAUAAGAAGACCUCAGUCCCUGAGCUAGCACCUCUCCGAGCUACUCGGCUCCAGGAGUGCCGUCUGGCCAGACUCAUAAAGGUCUGUUUCAUUUUCCAGCUUGUCUGGUGUGCUCCUUCCCGGGUGAUUCUCACGGCUGUUGAGCUUCUUGGAGCAGUUGUGUUCUCCUGCUGUCUGCCUGUCUCUGCCAGUGACCUUGGCAGUAGCAGCUCCCUCAAGGCUGGCUGCAUUCGCUCAUCACAAACCCAGGAAAAUCACCCACUGUGGUAUCACCGAGCCUUGAGCCUGUGGCAUCUUCUGCCUGGAGCAUCAUCCUCCUGGAGUCCGUCAGGCCACCCCACAGCCCCUCAAAUAUCACCUUGCUGGACAUUUUCCAGAUCUCCUCUGGGCUCCCUUGGCAUUGUGACCCUUGCCUAUCACACUGAACUAGGUCGUGGCCGUGCAGCUCUUGGGGAUGGACCAUAAAGACGAGCGUUCUUCUCAAAUCAACAACAACAAUAAAUAAAAGGCACUCAGCAAGUAUGUGUUAUUGCAAUGUCUGCCCAUCUUGUGUCUGUCUCAGGAUGGCAUGGGUUUUGUUUUGCUUUGUUUUGUUUUUGUCUUGUGGUGCUAGGGAUUGAACCAGGGCCUUGCACAUGCUUAGGCAAGUGCUGUCCCAGUGAGCUAGGUGGCAAGUGCCUGUUCUCUACAAGCCUUGCAUAUAAAAUCUGAAAAAUGGAUUAGAGCAGCAUUUAUGCCUUGUUUUGUUUGUUUGUUU